This 292-nucleotide ribosomal RNA is filed under the name uncultured bacterium. RNAcentral's name for it is "partial 16S ribosomal RNA". It matches the Rfam family "Bacterial small subunit ribosomal RNA", at positions 505 to 796 of the family's 1533-position model. The record is from RNAcentral.
GUGCCAGCAGCCGCGGUAAUACAGAGGGUGCGAGCGUUAAUCGGAAUUACUGGGCGUAAAGGGCGCGUAGGCGGUUAUAAACGUGUGAUGUGAAAGCCCUGGGCUUAACCUAGGAAGCGCAUCGCAAACGAUAUGACUAGAGUACUGUAGAGGGUAGCGGAAUUUCCGGUGUAGCGGUGAAAUGCGUAGAGAUCGGAAGGAACGUCAAUGGCGAAGGCAGCUACCUGGACAGAUACUGACGCUGAGGCGCGAGAGCGUGGGGAGCAAACAGGAUUAGAAACCCUGGUAGUCC